UUGGCAUUCCAGUGUUCCUUGGACACAGGCAACAGGAUGAGUUUCACUGGAUCAAAAUGUAUGAAGGUGAUGCUAAUGUCUUUUCAGCAGCAGUGUCCCUAAAUCUGCAUGGUGUUAUUGUCCCUUCUCUAUGUUGGACUGAACUGUUUCAACUCUUCACAAGUGAAAACCUCAAAGCCCUAAUGUGGUGGAGAAAGACGCCAUCUACAGUAUGUCAGGAGCAGAGGGGUGUCCACUAGAGAAGGAGUCUUCUCAGUCAAGAUAAGAUUUCCUGCUUGUCAUACUAGAGGGAGAUACUGGUUGUCUUUCAACUCCACACCAUGGGAUGAUUGACCUGGAUCUUAACCAGAACAGACUUCACCAGACACAGUAGAAGUGAGGUCACAGGAGACAGACUGAUUUGUGAAGAGGGACUGCAUCACCCAUAAAGCAUUGUGUCCCUGGAGGCCACAGCUUUGUUGGAUGUAAAUGCCUUGUUCUCAACCUCUCGGAGUGUUCGGAAAUACGACUUGUAAACUCUGUGCGACGAGUUGCAUGCAUUCACGUACUUUGAACUUGUUGCGAAUGCCAACGACUAAGUACCGAGGUCAACCAUAAACGAACAGUACAGCUAUCAUGCUGGCAUUAAAAAGCAGUUGAAAAUAGCUUUUCUAGAUCAGUCUGACUGUUCUUCCUGACUGUUAUAAUCAACCAGCUUGAAUGCAAAAAUUUGAUGGGACUACUUGUUUCCUGUUGCAACACUUGAACCACGUUAAUAUUUUUGGUUAUAAUCGGCACAACUUUUGAA
Molecule: long non-coding RNA, 787 nt
Organism: Coregonus clupeaformis (lake whitefish)
Lineage: Eukaryota; Metazoa; Chordata; Actinopteri; Salmoniformes; Salmonidae
Exons: 4
Source: RefSeq, a predicted model, not a curated record